UGGGGAAUAUUGCACAAUGGGCGAAAGCCUGAUGCAGCGACGCCGCGUGAGGGAUGACGGCCUUCGGGUUGUAAACCUCUUUCAGCAGGGACGAAGCGCAAGUGACGGUACCUGCAGAAGAAGCACCGGCUAACUACGUGCCAGCAGCCGCGGUAAUACGUAGGGUGCAAGCGUUGUCCGGAAUUACUGGGCGUAAAGAGUUCGUAGGCGGUUUGUCGCGUCGUUUGUGAAAACCAGCAGCUCAACUGCUGGCUUGCAGGCGAUACGGGCAGACUUGAGUACUGCAGGGGAGACUGGAAUUCCUGGUGUAGCGGUGAAAUGCGCAGAUAUCAGGAGGAACACCGGUGGCGAAGGCGGGUCUCUGGGCAGUAACUGACGCUGAGGAACGAGAGCGUGGGUAGCGAACAGG
Molecule: ribosomal RNA, 409 nt
Filed under: Brucella melitensis
Lineage: Bacteria; Pseudomonadati; Pseudomonadota; Alphaproteobacteria; Hyphomicrobiales; Brucellaceae
Also listed under: 1 other name
Description: partial 16S ribosomal RNA
Rfam family: Bacterial small subunit ribosomal RNA
Source: RNAcentral